Long non-coding RNA from Sinocyclocheilus grahami, 143 nucleotides. RefSeq lists it as uncharacterized. NCBI's taxonomy places the organism in Eukaryota, Metazoa, Chordata, Actinopteri, Cypriniformes, Cyprinidae. The transcript is spliced from 3 exons. The record is from RefSeq and is a predicted model, not a curated record.
UCGGAAGGUUAGACGGGUGUCGACGAAUUUUAUCAUCAAAGUGUUUUCCUCAACAGUGUACAGGGAAUUCCUGUGGCAUCUACAUGCUGAUGUAUGCUCUCAGCACCUGUACAUCAUGCCCACUAACAUUCACAGAGGUAAGC